AGCCAUGCAGUGAGCACAAAGCGAACUAUUCUUUCGCCUUUUACUAAAGAAUACCGUGUGCUCGCUGCAAAUAGUGGCGUACGCCUAUUUUUGGAGAGACCUUUCUUCUACAGAAAGGC
Non-coding RNA from Helianthus annuus (common sunflower), 119 nucleotides. The record is from Rfam. Lineage: Eukaryota; Viridiplantae; Streptophyta; Magnoliopsida; Asterales; Asteraceae.